RNAcentral lists this ribosomal RNA (253 nucleotides) under uncultured bacterium. RNAcentral describes it as "partial 16S ribosomal RNA". It matches the Rfam family "Bacterial small subunit ribosomal RNA", at positions 524 to 776 of the family's 1533-position model. The record is from RNAcentral.
UACGUAGGGGGCAAGCGUUAUCCGGAUUUACUGGGUGUAAAGGGAGCGUAGACGGAAUUGCAAGUCUGAUGUGAAAAUCCGGGGCCCAACCCCGGAACUGCAUUGGAAACUGUAUUUCUAGAGUGUCGGAGAGGCAAGUGGAAUUCCUGGUGUAGCGGUGAAAUGCGUAGAUAUCAGGAGGAACACCAGCGGCGAAGGCGGCUUGCUGGACGAUGACUGACGUUGAGGCUCGAAAGCGUGGGGAGCAAACAGG